Molecule: non-coding RNA, 94 nt
Organism: Mycena alexandri
Lineage: Eukaryota; Fungi; Basidiomycota; Agaricomycetes; Agaricales; Mycenaceae
Source: the annotation of a GenBank genome assembly
GCCCUUGUACCUCAGUGGUUAGAUGCAUCUUCUUAAAAUGUCGUAGACCUCUACAGCUCGGAAGAAGCCGCGGGUUCGACUCCCGCCGAGGGCG